This 253-nucleotide ribosomal RNA is filed under the name uncultured bacterium. Its description in RNAcentral is "partial 16S ribosomal RNA". It matches the Rfam family "Bacterial small subunit ribosomal RNA", at positions 524 to 776 of the family's 1533-position model. The record is from RNAcentral.
UACGUAGGGGGCAAGCGUUGUCCGGAUUUAUUGGGCGUAAAGAGCGUGUAGGCGGCUUUACAGGUCCGUUGUGAAAACUCGAGGCUCAACCUCGAGACGCCGAUGGAAACCGUCUGGCUAGAGUCCGGAAGAGGAGAGUGGAAUUCCGGGUGUAGCGGUGGAAUGCGUAGAGAUCCGGAAGAACACCGGUGGCGAAGGCGGCCUGCUGGGCAGUGGCUGACGCUGAGGCGCGACAGCGUGGGGAGCAAACAGG